Molecule: long non-coding RNA, 252 nt
Filed under: Lathyrus oleraceus (garden pea)
Lineage: Eukaryota; Viridiplantae; Streptophyta; Magnoliopsida; Fabales; Fabaceae
Description: Pisum sativum (pea) long non-coding RNA (PSAT_LNC001338)
Source: RNAcentral
UUCACUCUUUUGACUCUUUUCCUACUCAAGUUUUUCGAGCAUUUUAUAUGUGUUAGAGUCUUAAGUCUCGGCAAGUGCAUUUUUCUCUUUUGUUUUUCUUUUCUCUUUUUUUUUCUAUUUUUUUUUCUUUUAAAGGACAUACAUACUAUUUUUCUUUUUGUAUGAUCUCUUAUUAUGCACUUGCAUUCUCUUUCAAGAUUUCCACCCCAAACUUAGUUUUAUUGCACAUCUUGCAAUUCACACAAUCAUACC